This 583-nucleotide long non-coding RNA is filed under the name Nicotiana benthamiana. RNAcentral's name for it is "long non-coding RNA (NBEN_LNC018720)". The record is from RNAcentral. Lineage: Eukaryota; Viridiplantae; Streptophyta; Magnoliopsida; Solanales; Solanaceae.
CAGAAGUUUGACAUGAAAGAUUUUAGCGGGAAAUGGUUCAUAACUCGCGGUUUAAAUCCCACUUUUGAUGCUUUUGAUUGUCAAUUGCAUGAGUUCCAUACAGAAGAAAACAAACUUGUGGGGAAUUUAUCGUGGAGAAUACGGACACCUGAUGGAGGAUUUUUUACUCGAUCAGCGGUGCAAAAAUUUGUGCAAGACCCAGAAGUUUGACAUGAAUGAUUUUAGCGGGAAAUGGUUCAUAACUCGCAGUUUAAAUCCCACUUUUGAUGCUUUUGAUUGUCAAUUGCAUGAGUUCCAUACAGAAGAAAACAAACUUGUGGGGAAUUUAUCGUGGAGAAUACGGACACCUGAUGGAGGAUUUUUUACUCGAUCAGCGGUGCAAAAAUUUGUGCAAGAUCCAAAAUAUCCAGGGAUACUCUACAAUCAUGAUAAUGAGUAUCUUCACUACCAAGAUGACUGGUAUUUCCCUAUCUUGAAAUUAGUUCCGUAUCUCUGUGUGCAAAAUUGGACCUUGAUGUUGUACUUGGUUUCCGAUUGACGUAUUCUGUGUAUUAUUAAAACAUGUGAAUUGAUUUUUCCUGCA